UACGAAGGGGGCUAGCGUUGCUCGGAAUUACUGGGCGUAAAGCGCACGUAGGCGGAUUGUUAAGUCGGGGGUGAAAUCCUGGAGCUCAACUCCAGAACUGCCUUCGAUACUGGCGAUCUCGAGUUCGGGAGAGGUGAGUGGAACUGCGAGUGUAGAGGUGAAAUUCGUAGAUAUCGGGAGGAACACCAGUGGCGAAGGCGGCGAUCUGGGAAGAUACUGACGCUGAGGUGCGAAAGCGUGGGGAGCAAACAGG
RNAcentral lists this ribosomal RNA (253 nucleotides) under uncultured bacterium. Its description in RNAcentral is "partial 16S ribosomal RNA". It matches the Rfam family "Bacterial small subunit ribosomal RNA", at positions 524 to 776 of the family's 1533-position model. The record is from RNAcentral.